Molecule: ribosomal RNA, 375 nt
Filed under: uncultured eukaryote
Lineage: Eukaryota
Description: partial 18S ribosomal RNA
Rfam family: Eukaryotic small subunit ribosomal RNA
Source: RNAcentral
CAAUAGCGUAUAUUUAAGUUGUUGCAGUUAAAAAGCUCGUAGUUGGAUUUCGGUUAAGAGCGACCGGUCCGCCGUUUGGUGUGCACUGGUUGGUUUUAACUUCCUGUAGAGGACGUGCUCUGGGUUUAACGACCUGGACUCGGAGUCUACGUGGUUACUUUGAAAAAAUUAGAGUGUUCAAAGCGGGCUUACGCUUGAAUAUUUCAGCAUGGAAUAACACUAUAGGACUCCUGUCCUAUUUCGUUGGUCUCGGGACGGGAGUAAUGAUUAAGAGGAACAGUCGGGGGCAUUCGUAUUUCAUUGUCAGAGGUGAAAUUCUUGGAUUUAUGAAAGACGAACUUCUGCGAAAGCAUUUGCCAAGGAUGUUUUCAUUAA